Molecule: ribosomal RNA, 305 nt
Filed under: uncultured bacterium
Lineage: Bacteria
Description: bacterial SSU rRNA
Rfam family: Bacterial small subunit ribosomal RNA
Source: RNAcentral
CUCCUACGGGGGGCAGCAGUGGGGAAUAUUGCACAAUGGGGGAAACCCUGACGCAGCGACGCCGCGUGGGUGAAGAAGUAUUUCGGUACGUAAAGCUCUAUCAGCAGGGAAGAAAAUGACGGUACCUGACUAAGAAGCCCCGGCUAACUACGUGCCAGCAGCCGCGGUAAUACGUAGGGGGCAAGCGUUAUCCGGAUUUACUGGGUGUAAAGGGAGCGUAGACGGCAGCACAAGUCUGGAGUGAAAUCCCAUGGCUUAACCAUGGAACUGCUUUGGAAACUGUGCAGCUGGAGUGCAGGAGAGGG